This 1683-nucleotide long non-coding RNA is filed under the name Piliocolobus tephrosceles (Ugandan red Colobus). RNAcentral describes it as "lncRNA (ENSPTEG00000008011.1)". The record is from RNAcentral. Lineage: Eukaryota; Metazoa; Chordata; Mammalia; Primates; Cercopithecidae.
ACAUACCUAUAAUAUAAUGGAAAAAAAAAAAAAAACUGAUAGUAACAAGCAUGCGAAAAAAAGUUACUAUUAUAAAAAUAACGACAUAGCUAACGAAAACGAAAUAAAAUAUGUUAAAGAGUUUGACCCAACUUUAGACGAAGACUUGGGUGAUCACUUACCUUCUUUUAACUAUGGUAUUGAUAUUAGUAAUAGUAACAGAGUUAGUAACAUAAAGGACCUGGAUAUAAAUAUUAGUACAUUAAAAGACGAAGUAAUAUCAAACGAGUUAUUGAAUAAUGAUAAUAUAAAUGAUAUAAGCUUAGGAUUAGUAAAAGAUAAGUCUAUACAUAAAAAGGAAAAUGAAUAUGUAAAAAAAAAAUAUGACUAUAUACUAUCACCGGAAAGGGCCGAUCCAUUUAGUAACAAAUCCCCAUCUCCUGGUGAAAGAACAUAUACAGAUGUUAUGUUAGAGAUAAAAAAUGAAUCAAAAAAAAAUAAAAGAAUUAUUAACAAUAACGUUAUUAGUAAUGAUAGUAAUAGUGUUGUUAGUGACGACCAUCUUAAUAAUAAUAAUAAUAAUAAUGACAAUGUUGGUACGAUUACAAGUGUGAAAAGGAGGAAAAAAGAAAGAUGGGGAGAGAAAAUAACCGACACUUCAACUUCAACUUCAACUUCAGUAAGUAUUUACGACAAAAUACAUGAAAGUGGUAGUAUUACUACUAGUGGUACAAUUUUGAAUAAUAAAAAAAAUAACCAUAGUAGUAAAUGGGAUUUCAAAGCUGACGAAAAUGAAACUAGCUUUGGUGAUAUUCCUACACCUGCUCCGAACAAAUGGGUUGACACACCAUUUGUAUUAAAUAACGAAAGUAUUAACAUUACAAAACAAAAAAAAAAAAAAUCUAGAUGGGAUAAAGUAGGAACAGAAAUAAAACAACAUGAUGAUAAAGCACCAGUAAGUGAUAUAAAAACACCACUUGUGUCGGGAGUAGAUAGUAGUACUCCAUAUGUUGGUGGACAAACAAACACAACUCCUUAUAUUGGUGGUAAUACAAUUGCAACUCCUUACAUGGGUGAACAAACUAACCCAUUUUACACACCCAUGACACCCAGUUUGAGUACUCCAUAUAAUGAUACAUUUUUAAAAGCAAAAAUAAAAAACGAGAUGGCUAUGCGAAAUAGACCAUUAACAGAUGAAGAUCUAAAUCAAUUGUUACCGUCAGAAGGUUACGAAAUAGUUAAACCACCAGAAGAAUAUGAAACAUUAAGAAACAAUAAAUUAAAAACCAUGUUUAAAAAUCUAAAUAAUAAUAUGAUAACACCUAUGGUGUCGAAUACAAACGACCCAACUAGGCUAAACCACCAUAUGACUCCUAGUAAUAAUAUGUUAUUAAAUAACAACAAUGUAGUUAUGGGUGGAGCAAGUAAUAGUAUUAGUAGUAAUAAUAAAUUGGUACAUACCGAUGAUACACAACCAAUGUUAAGCACAAAUAUAAAUGGCACACCUUUUUAUAACAUCCCAACAGUAAGUAAUAUAUUAGCCGAAGAAGUAGCAGGAGAAAGUAACAAUACAACCAUGUUAUUACAAAAUAACACAAUCGAAAUUAAAAACCCUCAAUUAUUAUCUGAGUUAAAAUAUGUACAAAUUAAAACAGAGGAUUAUAUAUAUUUUAAUAAAUUGUUUCAAAAUGUAGAAGAAUCUGA